This 1185-nucleotide long non-coding RNA is filed under the name Oncorhynchus kisutch (coho salmon). RNAcentral describes it as "lncRNA (ENSOKIG00005044425.1)". The record is from RNAcentral. Lineage: Eukaryota; Metazoa; Chordata; Actinopteri; Salmoniformes; Salmonidae.
CACCAGUUCCUAUGUGAUAUAGCUAGCCAGGCUGUAGCACCAUCUACUACUAGUAUAGCUAGCCAUGCUGUAGCACCAUCUACUACUAGUGUAGCUAGCCAGGCUGUAGUACCAACUACUACUACUGGUGUAGCUAGCCAGGCUGUAGUACCAACUACUACUACUGGUGUAGCUAGCCAGGCUGUAGUACCAACUACUACUACUGGUGUAGCUAGCCAGGCUGUAGUACCAACUACUACUACUGGUGUAGCUAGCCAGGCUGUAGUACCAACUACUACUACUGGUGUAGCUAGCCAGGCUGUAGCACCAUCUACUACUAGUGUAGCUAGCCAUGCUGUAGCACCAUCUACUGCUAGUGUAGCUAGCCAGGCUGUAGCACCAUCUACUACUAGUGUAGCUAGCUAUGCUGUAAUACCAACUACUACUACUGGUGUAGCUAGCCAUGCUGUAAUACCAACUACUACUACUGGUGUAGCUAGCCAGGCUGUAGAACCUACUACUACUACUGGUGUAGCUAGCCAGGCUGUAGAACCAACUACUACUACUGGUGUAGCUAGCCAGGCUGUAGUACCAACUACUACUAUUGAUGUAGCUAGCCAGGCUGUAGUACCAACUACUACUACUGGGGUAGCUAGCCAGGCUGUAGUACCAACUACUACUACUAGGGUAGCUAUCCAGGCUGUAGUACCAACUACUACUACUACUGGGGUAGCUAUCCAGGCUGUAGUACCAUCUACUACUAGUGUAGCUAGCUAUGCUGUAAUACCAACUACUACUACUGGUGUAGCUAGCCAGGCUGUAGUACCAACUACUACUACUGGUGUAGCUAGCCAUGCUGUAAUACCAACUACUACUACUACUGGUGUAGCUAGCCAGGCUGUAGAACCAACUACUACUACUGGUGUAGCUAGCCAGGCUGUAGAACCAACUACUACUACUGGUGUAGCUAGCCAGGCUGUAGUACCAACUACUACUAUUGAUGUAGCUAGCCAGGAUGUAGUACCAACUACUACUACUGGGGUAGCUAGCCAGGCUGUAGUACCAACUACUACUACUGGGGUAGCUAUCCAGGCUGUAGUACCAACUACUACUACUGGGGUAGCUAUCCAGGCUGUAGUACCAACUACUACUACUGGGGUAGCUAUCCAGGCUGUAGUACCAACUACUACUAGGGUAGCUAGCUAG